CCAACCAGCCGGUGCCAUGCAGAACUAGCCGCCGGAGACCGCUGCAAGCCAUGUAGUUACCAUGACUGCCGUCAUCUUCAGGCCACACACACGAUCAUCGAUCUUCCAACCACGGUCUUGCAUUGGCAGAAGUCAGAAGAGGAGCCCACCACACCUCACCGAAGAAGCCACCGCCGUGCAGAACCCCUCGCUGAAGUAUCGUUGUUGCAUUUUACACGCCAAAAUGACCGAAGCACUGCACCGGAUCCUGAACCUUUGAGGCAACGCAGGACGCAUGGGGGCUCGCCACAUCCACUGCCGCACAACACUCCUCGGACUCUCCUCGGACACACCACUCCUCAAGCACACCACCUUAAAGCGCACGGGGCCUCCCCUCUCCCGCCGCUGGACUCUUCAAAGAUCCGGGUUUUCUUCGCCAUCAAGGGUGACUUGGUACCACUGAGCCGCACCAGAAGCUUCACCUUUGCCUUACUGUCACCGAGAUCACAGCUGCACCACACAUGCAGACCCAAAUCUUCCGGAAAGCAUGGGCCCUCCGCUCCUCCUCGCUGACACAGUCCCUUCCUGCACCUCCUCACUCGCAGCCACGACGCCUCGAUCACCACCACCACGCGUGCGAUCACUCCAGCACACUCUGUCGCCGUCUCCGCCACGCCUGCGCUGCAAAAAUGGCCUCGCGCUACCAACCACACCUCCAUGGCAUCAUUGGCACGCCACUGGGCAGGCCAGCGCCAACCAUACCACCAUGGUGUCGCUGACGAGACCCGCGCGAACCAUUCUUGGCUGCGCUACCAUAUCGCCUCCAAGCCGCGAAGAGCUGCAUCCUCGACGUGCUGCCGCCGACACCCAUUCCGCACACCACCGCGCCGCUCAAAGGUUCGCCGCCUGCGCACCUGUGCACCACCACGCCGCUCCCAGGUGCGUUCCUCCCGGCCGCCGCACACGUGCCUUCGUGGCCCACACCGGCCGCCAUUACUGAGGUCAGCUUGCUCGUCAUCUUCUCCCAUGCCCGUAGCUUCACCCCCUUUGCCUUGGCCUCUGGCUUCCUUCCUCCACCUCUUGGGCCCGUUGAUCCCCCCGCCAGGCGGCGAGGCCUCCGCGCCACGCACCCCAUGAAGCUACUGCCAGAGCCCGACGACGAAGACGUGCCGAACAACCGCCGCCCGGAGCAGCCACCACCACUGCCCCCCCCCCCCCCGUGGGUGAAGCCACCGCCGCCGCGCCUGGCGGUGGCCCAGGAUCCGGCCUCGGGGGCCCCGGGAUACAACCUCGCCAGCAUGGCCGCGUGCCGCCCGCCCCGCGUGGGGGAAGCGGCCACCGCCGCCGUGCCCGGUAUCAGAUCUGGCACCAGGAACCCCGGAUCCGGCCGCGGGAGCUCCGGAUCCGGCCUCGCCGGCACGGCCGCGUGCCGCCCGACAGCGAUUCCAUCCGACAUCCCUGGCGGCCGCGCCCACGAGGAGAUAGAAGGGGAGAAGAAGGACGCCCCGCCGCCGCCGUCCUCAUGAGCCGCGCGGGCUUUCGGUGGCCGGCUCGGGCGGUGGCGCGGCGGUGAAGAGAGGGAGGAAGGGGCGGCAGCGGCGAGGUUGUCCGCCCGUGUCGCUCACGCAGGAGCGACGCGGGGGCACCCAAACUUAAGUCAUACUGUUUUGAAGAACUCAGUAGUUACAGUCAAGUGUUAGUUCUUUUCGGCUUAGGUGAUGAAGUCUAUGGGUAGAAGCUUUGUUUUUCACCUUUGUUCUAUAGAACAAGUGGACGGGUUUGAUAUAUUGGAUUAGUAAAUUGCAUUUGCUUCCACAUUCGACAGCGAUGGCCAUAGUACCACAGACCUUGACCUUGUGUCCGGGCAAGAGAUAAGGCAGAAUUCAAUACUGUUAGGUGUAAUGUGCCAUCGUUACAGUUGCAUGGGCCACGAACGAUAGGGUUCCACGGUGACCUCUUCUACUAGCUCUCCAGUCUAUUAUUGCCUUCGACCCUGGGGCAUGGAGAUUAGGCAGAAUUCAAUAUCCUUGUUAGGUGUAAUGUGCCAUCGUUACAGUUGCAUGUCACUGGCUUGAUAGAAAGCAUUCGCUAGAGGAUGCUAGAUGGCCCAUUCCCCGCGCUAGAGGGCGGAGACCUUGACCCGCUCGGCCGCAGACGCCAACCACAGAUGUCCUGCUCAACAAUGACAUAUCUACAGCGAAUAUUGUCCAUUCAAUGGUUGGAAGGAUACUCUCUUCUUAUACAAGGUUAGGUCAUUGGAUGAGGGCACUGAAAUUCCAAGCUUUGCUGAGAUCCAACGCUGUUGCAAGGGGGAAGUAUUGGUGAAUCUAUAUACAAACUUUGCUGCACGAUUUCAUUUUGUCGCUGCUCAAGUGAUGUCAAUAAGAGGAGAAACAGGGAUGAUGGUUCAGUAGGAAGUGAUAUUUGGGUUUUCAACUGGCUCCUCUGUUUCUGCGUUGUUUAAUUUGGUAAGCUCAAAUUGAAUGUCUGGUCCAUAAAGGGUUCAGAUGUUUUCUUUCCUCUCUCUAUCUUCCUAAGUCACGCUUCAUAUACGUGUCUUGAUCAUGCACUUAUUUCUUCUCAUUUCGUUGAUCAUGCACUUGUUUUCUGCCAGAGAAUUCAUUUUCUAGCUAGUGUCUCCACUUAUCUGUUGGUUUCGGUGAUUGUGUGGUUGUCACACAUUUAUCUGUUCUAUACAUUGUCCACUUUUUUCUGCCAGAGAAUUCAUUUUCUCGAUGCUCAAGUGACGCCGAUAAGAGGAGGAACAGAGAGGAUGCUUCAGUAGGAACUCCUUGCGUUUUCAUCCUCCUCCUCUGUCUCUGCAUCAUAUCCUUUCAGUUUGGUAAGCUCGAUUUCAACAGUUAGUCCAUAACGAUUCAGAUUUCAUAAUCUUUCUCCUCCUAGUUCAUGCCUGAUUUGCAUGUGUUGAUUAUGCGCCACUUCAUUUUUCUUUCUGUCGGAGAGAUGAUUGAAGAGUGAAGUGAUCCCGUGCGGAACCCUGUGGAUACACCUUCCGCCUGCUGAUUAGUAGGAGCAAAAGUGUAGUUACUCCUUCAGCUGCACAAUUCAUGUGACACAAGGAAGAUGAAGCUUUUAGCCAGGAAGUGAUGGCUCUCCAGUUUCCAGCUACCCCUCUGCUGAUUUGCGUCCUUUAGCUCUGGUUUUCUCUGCUUCUGCUCAGGGUAUGUUUUUUGCUCUGCUCUGGUUUGCUCUUAUCAUGGUUUGCAUCAUCAUUACGAUAAGUCUGCUCAUGGUGAAUCAAACAAUCAUACUAGAGGUUUCCUUUGUAUGAUACCAACUAUUGUCCCAAUUGAUUACAUCAUUUUAAAGCACAAAAUAAAAGGACAGAAUGCUAAUUCUUUAUACCUCAUACCUCACUGUACUACUUUUUUUAAAGGAACCGGGCAGGAGAGCUGCCGAUUAUAUUAAAAAAAGAAUACACCCAGAUUGGACACAAUAACAAACAACCGAACACCAACACCGGCCAGUUAUAUUGGGACAUCAACACAGCCACAGAACUCAGCUCAACUCCACCCGACUCACCAAACCGCACCACCACAACCAAGUGACACUCAUCGCAAGCGCCGUCAUUCCUGACGAUGUCCCACGCCAACCAGCCGUUACCAUGUAGAACUGGCCGCCGCAGACCGCUGCAAGCCAUGUAGUUACAACGACUGUUCCAUCAUACCAUCAUCAUCUUCAGUCCACACACACGAUCAUCGAUCUCCCAACCACGGCCUUGCAUUGGCAGAAGUCAGAAGAGGAGCACACCACACCUCACCGAAGAAGCCACCGCCAUGCAGGAUCCCUCGCCAAAGUAUCGUUGUUGCACCUUACACGCUAAAACGACCGAAGCAC
This 3837-nucleotide long non-coding RNA is filed under the name Setaria italica (foxtail millet). RNAcentral describes it as "long non-coding RNA (SITA_LNC006053)". The record is from RNAcentral. Lineage: Eukaryota; Viridiplantae; Streptophyta; Magnoliopsida; Poales; Poaceae.